UACAGAGGGUGCAAGCGUUAAUCGGAUUUACUGGGCGUAAAGCGCGCGUAGGCGGCUAAUUAAGUCAAUUGUGAAAUCCCCGAGCUUAACUUGGGAAUUGCAUUCGAUACUGGUUAGCUAGAGUGUGGGAGAGGAUGGUAGAAUUCCAGGUGUAGCGGUGAAAUGCGUAGAGAUCUGGAGGAAUACCGAUGGCGAAGGCAGCCAUCUGGCCUAACACUGACGCUGAGGUGCGAAAGCAUGGGGAGCAAACAGG
RNAcentral lists this ribosomal RNA (253 nucleotides) under uncultured bacterium. RNAcentral describes it as "partial 16S ribosomal RNA". It matches the Rfam family "Bacterial small subunit ribosomal RNA", at positions 524 to 776 of the family's 1533-position model. The record is from RNAcentral.